UGAGAGAACUCCUGCCAACCUUUGCCUCACCUUCUCUGUGACUCUCAGACACUGGAUCAGCUGACUACAGCCAAGACAUCAUCCUGCCACAGACCAGUCAUCACAGCACCAUCCUGACUGUUGAUCAACAGCAGAGUCAUCAGUGCUGGACCACACAGAGACCCUGUUCCUCCUCAGUGCUCAGGCUUCCUCACAACAGAGCAGAAGGUCUUCCUUCACUGUGAUUCUCCACUUCACAGUAGAGACCACUGCACAGCUCCACAAGCUAGUGAACUAUGUGAGAUGGCACUGUGUGCUUCCUCUCUGCAACAUCAAGCUCCUCCUCCAACACGUGUUAAAGGUCUCUGCACCUCUGUGUCCUCCAUGUUCACUGACACUGACCAGAUGACUGAAAGCAGAAGCUCUACAGCCACUGGAAAGGUCAAAGGUCAGUCCAUCUUCAUGCUGACACUGUGCUCUGUUGACAGUUUUGGUUUGUGCCAACAACUGACUGAAGAGCAUCAUGACAGAACAAACUAUGAACCCUGGACAGAAUGACUGUGUCUCUGAAAACAGCUCUGCAGUUUAAAGGAUCUUUUGGACUGUUGACCUCUACCCAACUGAGAUAUGUUUAUUCUGCAUCUCAUAAGAAUUUAUUCCUUUCCUUUUCAUUUCCUUUCCUCCCACCCCCCCAACUGCCCACCUGUCUCUUCAUCAAUAGAUAAAGAGAACAGAUAGAGAGGGAAAACAGGUCAAUUAGUUCAGGUGCCACAGGCACGUCAACUAAUUAACCUGGAGGAGAGGCCAGAUUUUAGUCAUCUUAAUCAUUAGUGUGGGGUGUCAGCUGCUAUGUAUGUUAAAGGUUUCUCACAUUUGUGCACUUAGCCUUGAUCUAAUCUAAAGCUCUGGGUACAGACAUGAGUCCUACACUGUUUAGAACUCCAGUGGUAAAAUGUGUGUGAAACUGAAGCUCA
Molecule: long non-coding RNA, 953 nt
Organism: Lates calcarifer (barramundi perch)
Lineage: Eukaryota; Metazoa; Chordata; Actinopteri; Centropomidae
Exons: 3
Source: RefSeq, a predicted model, not a curated record